RNAcentral lists this ribosomal RNA (425 nucleotides) under uncultured bacterium. RNAcentral's name for it is "partial 16S ribosomal RNA". It matches the Rfam family "Bacterial small subunit ribosomal RNA", at positions 354 to 796 of the family's 1533-position model. The record is from RNAcentral.
GUGGGGAAUCUUAGACAAUGGGGGCAACCCUGAUCUAGCCAUGCCGCGUGAUCGAUGAAGGCCUUAGGGUUGUAAAGAUCUUUCAGCUGGGAAGAUAAUGACGGUACCAGCAGAAGAAGCCCCGGCUAACUCCGUGCCAGCAGCCGCGGUAAUACGGAGGGGGCUAGCGUUGUUCGGAAUUACUGGGCGUAAAGCGCACGUAGGCGGAUUGGAAAGUUGGGGGUGAAAUCCCGGGGCUCAACCCCGGAACUGCCUUCAAAACUCCCAGUCUUGAGGUCGAGAGAGGUGAGUGGAAUUCCGAGUGUAGAGGUGAAAUUCGUAGAUAUUCGGAGGAACACCAGUGGCGAAGGCGGCUUUCUGGACUGUAACUGACACUGAGGCACGAAAGCGUGGGGAGCAAACAGGAUUAGAUACCCUGGUAGUCC